This 321-nucleotide long non-coding RNA is filed under the name Vigna radiata. RNAcentral describes it as "long non-coding RNA (VRAD_LNC006000)". The record is from RNAcentral. Lineage: Eukaryota; Viridiplantae; Streptophyta; Magnoliopsida; Fabales; Fabaceae.
GGGUUUGUUAACACGUGUACGUCUGUUUUUCAGUUGGUACGUUUUAACAAUGUGUACCGGAUUAUAGUAGAUAAAAAUACCCUCAUUUAUCAUGGAUUCUAAGUUUUAAGGUCAAGGAUAUUUAAAUAAUUUUCAUUCUCAAAACUAAAAAAGAAACCCCCAAACCCUUACUCACCUCCCUCAUUCCUCUCAACCCUUUCUCUUUCAUCUCUCUCGCUCCAACAUCAUUUUCUCUGUCAUUCCUAAUGUUGCUCCAAUUGAAAAAAAGAAAUCAGAAACACUUUGUCAUCAGAGAUAUUUUCUCUCUCAUCUCAACAUUUU